Molecule: unclassified non-coding RNA, 336 nt
Filed under: Hevea brasiliensis (rubber tree)
Lineage: Eukaryota; Viridiplantae; Streptophyta; Magnoliopsida; Malpighiales; Euphorbiaceae
Source: RNAcentral
AUCUUCAUUUUGAAUGCUGAAUUCCUGGUUUUGCUGAACAAUAGGACUGAUCCCUUGUUUCCGCAAAGAACCCAUUUGUCCUUGAGGUCCUCCAGCCGAACUAGGUCGACUGCUUAACUGAGGGAAAUCAUUGAUAUCAAAAGGAGAUCCAUCAUUUGAAUUUACAUCAUUCAACAAUCCCAAAGAACUAAGGUUUCCCAUUGCUUGGACAUGGUUUUGAGCUAGUGGACCACCAGCAGAAUAGGAAUUUCCUAACAUAGAAAGUACCUGCGGAGAGGCUUGCUGAAGAACACCACUCAUUAUCCUAUUAGGUCCUUGAACAUUUAAAUUUCCAGA